AGAGUUUGAUCAUGGCUCAGAAUCAACGCUGGCGGCGUGCCUCAGACAUGCAAGUCGAACGCGAAAGUUUCCUUCGGGAGACAAGUAGAGUGGCGCACGGGUGAGUAACACGUAGGUAAUCUACCUUCGGAUGGGGAAUAACAAUCGGAAACGGUUGCUAAUACCGCAUAAUGCAGCGGCACCUAAUGGUGACAGUUGUUAAAGCGGGGGAUCGUAAGACCUCGCGUCUGAAGAGGAGCCUGCGGCGGAUUAGCUAGUUGGUAAGGUAACGGCUUACCAAGGCAACGAUCCGUAACCGGCCUGAGAGGGCGGUCGGUCACACUGACACUGACAUACGGGUCAGACUCCUACGGGAGGCAGCAGUCGGGAAUUUUGGGCAAUGGGCGAAAGCCUGACCCAGCAACGCCGCGUGAAGGAUGAAAUCCCUCGGGAUGUAAACUUCGCAAGAACGGGAAGAAUAAGUUUCAGUUAAUAUCUGAAACGAUGACGGUACCGUUUGUAAGCUCCGGCUAACUCCGUGCCAGCAGCCGCGGUAAUACGGGGGGAGCAA
RNAcentral lists this ribosomal RNA (550 nucleotides) under uncultured bacterium. Its description in RNAcentral is "bacterial SSU rRNA". It matches the Rfam family "Bacterial small subunit ribosomal RNA", at positions 8 to 537 of the family's 1533-position model. The record is from RNAcentral.